UCGCCUACGCGACAACGUCGUUAACGCACGUCGUCUUCGUCAUCUCUGUCAGUUCUACGAUUUCCGUUCUCGGAGUAAUGAUUAGUACAUUACAAUUAUACCUAAUAUCGUCUCUCGUCGUAAUAAUUUUAUCACGCGCGUAGUACAGUAUAUGCCGUACAAUUUCAUCAAGAGUUGUGCCGAAAUAUUUUUAUAAUAUCACCUAAUUUCCGUCUUAUAGCAAAGGAAUUAUAUUUAUUAAAUGACAUACAAAGGAAUAUUUAAAGAAAGUACAUCGACAUUGGCACUAAAUCAAUAUAUUGGGGUUUUAAAAAUUGUAUACUCCUCAAUAUCGAUCAUUCGUAUUCCGUGAGUGGGAUUUAGGCGCAGCAAAACAACAAUAUAAGUAUGAACGUAAUAUUAUAAUUACACAAUAAACAUAUAUAUACACACGAUGUCUAUGUGAUUUAUUUUAAGUUUAUUUUUCUAUUAUAUCUGCCGUUAAAAAAUGUAAAUAUAUUUAUAAUACUACCUAUGUGAAAUUAUUCAAAAGAAAGUUGGGAAUACUCUACUACGAGACAUUACUAUACAGCCGUUAACAAAAAUAUUACAUAUUUUAUAAGUUUGUAUUUUUAUUAUAAGUUUUAAACUGCACGCAGUUUUAAGAAUAACAUUUAAGCGCAUCAAUUGUUGUACCUAAUGACUAUUUAAUUUGAUUUUUAUUGUAAGAAUCUGAAAUUUCUGUAUCACUAAAACGGUGUAAAUAAUAUUAAAAUAUUUCUAAUUGUAUUAAAUAUUAGGUUAAUUUAUAAUAAGUCUUAGUGACCGUCGAAUUGUACACGCACAUAUUAUUGUAAUAAGGUAAUAUGUUUAAUUUUUCAUAACAGUAAAAAUUUCAUAGUUUUAGUACUAUAUAAAUAAUUGUAAUUCUAUUGGUACCUUUAAACUGUUGUUUUAAAACUAUUUACUGUAUAUAUUAUAAUAAAAUAAUA
This is a long non-coding RNA of Myzus persicae (green peach aphid), 971 nucleotides long. RefSeq lists it as uncharacterized. The record is from RefSeq and is a predicted model, not a curated record. NCBI's taxonomy places the organism in Eukaryota, Metazoa, Arthropoda, Insecta, Hemiptera, Aphididae. The transcript has 3 exons.